Molecule: ribosomal RNA, 514 nt
Filed under: uncultured Glomus
Lineage: Eukaryota; Fungi; Glomeromycota; Glomeromycetes; Glomerales; Glomeraceae
Description: SSU rRNA
Rfam family: Eukaryotic small subunit ribosomal RNA
Source: RNAcentral
CGCAGCCGCGGUAAUUCCAGCUCCAAUAGCGUAUAUUAAAGUUGUUGCAGUUAAAAAGCUCGUAGUUGAAUUUCGGGGUCAGUAGUUUGGUCGUGCCAACGGUAUGUACUGGGCUCACUGAUUCCUCCUUCCUGAUGAACUGUAAUGCCAUUAAUUUGGUGUUGCAGGGAAACUGGACUGUUACUUUGGAAAAAUUGAGUGUUUAAAGCAAGCUAACGCUUGAAUACAUUAGCAUGGAAUAAUGAAAUAGGACGUUCGAUCCUAUUUUGUUGGUUUCUAGGAUUGACGUAAUGAUUAAUAGGGAUAGCUGGGGGCAUUAGUAUUCAAUUGUCAGAGGUGAAAUUCUUGGAUUUAUUGAAGACUAACUACUGCGAAAGCAUUUGCCAAGGAUGUUUUCAUUAAUCAAGAACGAAGUUAGGGAUCGAAGACGAUCAGAUACCGUCGUAGUCUUAACCAUAAACUAUGCCGACUAGGGAUCGGAUGAUGUUAAUUUUUANGACUCAUUCGGCUACCG